RNAcentral lists this long non-coding RNA (1014 nucleotides) under Felis catus (domestic cat). RNAcentral's name for it is "lncRNA (ENSFCAG00000048200.1)". Lineage: Eukaryota; Metazoa; Chordata; Mammalia; Carnivora; Felidae. The record is from RNAcentral.
UCACUCCGGAAAACCACCCUUCGGCCGCAUCCCCGACGGCACACACUCGCCGUCCAGCGUCUCCACACUGGGGCAGCUUCAGGGACUUCCUCUCUCCCGAUCCCUGCCCCUCAUGCCCAGAACUGCCAAGCCCACGAGUCUCGGCCUCCGCCCAGAGCCGCUCCCACUACGACUCGCGCCAAAGGGCCCCAUCACCCACUUAAUUCCCUCCGCCGGCUCCACAACCACUCGUCCGCCGCGAACCCCGGCUCACUGAUUUCUCACAGACACUCCAAUCCCUUGACCCGCGAGCGCCCCACGAUUGGGCCGGCUCCACCAUCUCCCUCACAGCCUCCUCGUCACCCACCACCACAGGCGGCUCCGCCAGACCCCCAAAUCUCCCUCCUGACACCCACAGUCGCCGCCCGCCACACCCGUCCCAUCCCCACGCGCCCCCAGGCCCCUAAAGCUGCCCCAGAACCGCACCGCACCGCCCCCACGCCACGCCCCACCCGGACCGGAACCGGCGCCUGCGCUGCGUGGCCGGCCCCCACAACCUCCCCUCCCCCCCCGCCCCCGCCCCGGGUCCUCGUCGCACCCGGCUCCGGAGCCAGUUCGUGCGCGCGUCAGGGUUCACCGCGGGGCCCCCCGCGGACAUCAAGGCCGCCCCGGCCCCCGCAGCCUCGCCGCGUCGCCCCUACCCCCCACCUCAGGCUUCGGGCCGCUGCGCCGGGACUCACGCGGCCCACCUCGGAAGUGUGCGCGCAGAACUACAUUUCCCAGAGUGCCGCCCUCCCUAGAACUACAUCUCCCAGACGGCUCUGCGGCGCACCUCCCCGGAUUGGCAGGUCGGAGGUUUCCGAUGGACCUCCUCUCCCGCGCUGCCUGAGGGUUUCUGGGUCAGAAAUGUCAGGCGGAGCCGCUCUCCUCAAAAUAGGUCUGUGGGUGAACAUAAAUGUGCCACCAGGAGGAAACUUCUGUUCCUUUACAUUUCUGAUGCUAAAGCGAAGUCAUUUACAAAGUCAAAGUAAGUGA